Dunckerocampus dactyliophorus (ringed pipefish) is the source of this 781-nucleotide long non-coding RNA. RefSeq lists it as uncharacterized. Lineage: Eukaryota; Metazoa; Chordata; Actinopteri; Syngnathiformes; Syngnathidae. The record is from RefSeq and is a predicted model, not a curated record. The transcript is spliced from 5 exons.
CCGUAAGAUGCCCAGACUUCAUUCUUCACAGUUGGGUGGGAGAAAAGUCAAGGAAGAGCAGCUACAGGCCAGGUGCGCUCCCUGUGGGAUCAACUCCUUUAAUGACGAGCUAAGAAGCAAGGCCAGGAGCCUGGACAUCCCGUUUCAGUCAACGUUCUUUGCCCAAGGACAUGCCAUGGCUGACUUCAUGCAGCAUUAAGACCGCACGGCCGACAUCACUCCGACUUCUCGCUUGUUGUGAUCACGUGGGCUCUAUGGGAUCACUGCUGGAUAGACUGCUGCCUGUGUCGGAAUGCCGAUAUCGGAUGAUUUUAGAUGCCGACGAUUGUUUUUUUUGCUGACAUUGGUUGUCAAUAUCUGAUCGGGACAUCCCUCGUCAAAGGGAGAGGGAAGAUAAGGCACCGGUGAAAGCUGCCCGUGAUGUCCUUGAUGAGGAGUCCAGUGGGGAGGUAGAGUAACACAUCUCUUUAGUCAACAGUGAACGUGCGUAAAGGACACACUUUACAUUGAUGGAAGGUCUGGCAUAGAUAUUUGAAAAUAUGCUGAUUUGUCAGCGCAAGCACAUCGUGGUCAAAUAAACCCUGGAGAAGGAAACAGUCGUAGCAGCAAGAGAGAAAAUCGAACAUUUCAUCAUUCGCUCAUAUGUACAUUUGUGUUUUGGUUUGGGAGUAGUAGAUGGGAACAAUUGUUUUUAUUUGUACGGGGCAAUAAUACACUCUACACUGUAGCAUUGUUGCAGUCGAUUGUUGAUGACUUUCUUCCCUCAGACUGUAUCAUUGUU